This 460-nucleotide ribosomal RNA is filed under the name uncultured bacterium. Its description in RNAcentral is "partial 16S ribosomal RNA". It matches the Rfam family "Bacterial small subunit ribosomal RNA", at positions 338 to 795 of the family's 1533-position model. The record is from RNAcentral.
CCUACGGGGGGCUGCAGUGAGGAAUAUUGGUCAAUGGACGCAAGUCUGAACCAGCCAUGCCGCGUGCAGGAAGACGGCUCUAUGCGUUGUAAACUGCUUUUGUACGGGGGUAAACGCAGAUACGCGUAUCUGUCUGAAAGUAUCGUACGAAUAAGGAUCGGCUAACUCCGUGCCAGCAGCCGCGGUAAUACGGAGGAUGCAAGCGUUAUCCGGAUUUAUUGGGUUUAAAGGGUGCGUAGGCGGUCGGAUAAGUUAGAGGUGAAAUCCCGGGGCUCAACUUCGGAAUUGCCUCUGAUCCUGGUCGGCUAGAGAGUAGUAGAGGUAGGUGGAAUGUAUGGUGUAGCGGUGAAAUGCGUAGAGAUCAGGCAGAACACCGAUUGCGAAGGCAGCUUACCGGGCUACUACUGACGUUGAGGCACGAAAGCGUGGGGAGCAAACAGGAUUAGAUACCCUAGUAGUC